UAAUAAUUAGUUUAAUUAAAAUUUCAAUUUUGGGAAUUGAAGAUAUAUAAUUUAUAUUAUUAA
RNAcentral lists this transfer RNA (63 nucleotides) under Oncylocotis sp. PJ-2015. RNAcentral describes it as "tRNA-Pro". The record is from RNAcentral. Lineage: Eukaryota; Metazoa; Arthropoda; Insecta; Hemiptera; Enicocephalidae.